This 645-nucleotide ribosomal RNA is filed under the name uncultured bacterium. Its description in RNAcentral is "bacterial SSU rRNA". The stretch from base 1 to 545 matches the Rfam family "Bacterial small subunit ribosomal RNA", at positions 338 to 873 of the family's 1533-position model. The record is from RNAcentral.
CCUACGGGAGGCAGCAGUAGGGAAUCUUCCGCAAUGGACGAAAGUCUGACGGAGCAACGCCGCGUGAACGAUGAGGGCCUUCGGGUCGUAAAGUUCUGUUGUUAGGGAAGAACAAGUGCUAGUUGAAUAAGCUGGCACCUUGACGGUACCUAACCAGAAAGCCGCGGCUAACUACGUGCCAGCAGCCGCGGUAAUACGUAGGUGGCAAGCGUUGUCCGGAAUUAUUGGGCGUAAAGCGCGCGCAGGCGGUUUCUUAAGUCUGAUGUGAAAGCCCCCGGCUCAACCGGGGAGGGUCAUUGGAAACUGGGAAACUUGAGUGCAGAAGAGGAAAGUGGAAUUCCAAGUGUAGCGGUGAAAUGCGUAGAGAUUUGGAGGAACACCAGUGGCGAAGGCGACUUUCUGGUCUGUAACUGACGCUGAGGCGCGAAAGCGUGGGGAGCAAACAGGAUUAGAUACCCUGGUAGUCCACGCUGUAAACGAUGAGUGCUAAGUGUUAGAGGGUUUCCGCCCUUUAGUGCUGAAGUUAACGCAUUAAGCACUCCGCCGUAGGGGAGUUACGGUCGACGAAGUACGUACGAAACUUAACGAAGUAGAAGUUCGGACGGACGUAGAGACGUACGACGACGACGACGACGAGGGAGGAGG